RNAcentral lists this long non-coding RNA (615 nucleotides) under Setaria viridis. RNAcentral describes it as "long non-coding RNA (SVIR_LNC003943)". The record is from RNAcentral. Lineage: Eukaryota; Viridiplantae; Streptophyta; Magnoliopsida; Poales; Poaceae.
GCGGGGACGGGGACCGCGGAGUGGUACCGGCUGAGGCCUGAGGCUCGAUCGCUUGUCGAACCCCGGGACGACCAGGCCGCCGAGAAGCUUCUCUGCAAUGGAGUUUGCACACGGGAACGUAGGAAAAUCAGUGCCCAGCUAUCCGCAAACAAAAACUCUCCGAUGAUCAUGUUAAAAAAACAAAUCCCCCCAACCCCAAGUAGAUCUCCUCGCAGCAGGCGAAAUCAUCGUUCCAAAACACGCGAUGCGGAAGAUUCAACACCACAUCAGGAGAUGCAUGUUAGAGGACGUGAUAGAUCGGAACCGGAAGUGAGUGGAUUACGUUACCUUGCCGUGUGGGCGUGUGGUCGCCUCCUAUGGCCACAAGGCCGAUUCGGGCCUCCACGGCGCGUCCCGCCGUCUACGGCUAGCCGUGGUCGUCAGGACGGGCGGGGCGCGAGGAGGCAGAUGGGCAGCGCCGUGACCUUCUUCCUCUCGAUCCAUGGCAGUCUUGUGUCCGGCUCCACCGUACCCUCUCGUGCCUCCGCGCGGUGAGCGGCCUUCUCCGCGGCGUCCCGGCAUCGCUGCGAGCCUGCGACAGAUGCUUGGUUAUGCCAAUGCCGACGCCGACCACGC